Caenorhabditis elegans is the source of this 148-nucleotide non-coding RNA. The record is from Ensembl. Lineage: Eukaryota; Metazoa; Nematoda; Chromadorea; Rhabditida; Rhabditidae.
UGGAUUGAGUGCCAAAAUCGGAUGAAAAAAGGAGGAAAAAUGAAAGAAAAGAAGGAACAGAAGAGGAUGGGCGGGAUAGAAGAGGGUCAGUCUGAAAUGAUGAUUGACGUUUCUUUUUUUUUCUCAAUUUGAUCCGUCCCUUCCACUU